GUUUUCUCGUCUUCAUUUUACGGUAUAAAAAGUUGGUAGUGCAGAUAGAAGAAAAUUAGAGAUGAGUAUUGGUGGUGAAAAAGGUUCUGCAUCAACAAAGACACCAGCAGACUUUCUCAAAUCAAUUCGGGGCCGUCCCGUAGUUGUGAAACUCAAUUCUGGUGUUGACUACCGAGGUAUUCUUGCCUGUCUCGAUGGAUACAUGAAUAUAGCAAUG
RNAcentral lists this unclassified non-coding RNA (217 nucleotides) under Hevea brasiliensis (rubber tree). The record is from RNAcentral. Lineage: Eukaryota; Viridiplantae; Streptophyta; Magnoliopsida; Malpighiales; Euphorbiaceae.